GUUCCGUGGGCGCGUGGAAGGGAAGGGGAACCCCCUGUAGAAAAAGCACCAGUGACCCCCAAACGCUCCUUUUCCCGCCCGACGCGGUUGCGGCCGCCGCGCGGCGUCACCUCGUAGAUCCUGGUCACCCUCAUCCUCCUCCCGGUGCUGUUGGUUCCCUCCAGCGCCACGAUCUGCCCGAGAAGGCCCUGCAGCGAGUGGACGUCGUGGAGGCCCCGGUGGGGACGGUCCCUGCGCCGGGGGACGCGGCUGCUGCGCCGGGACAGGACCUGGGGACACGUGUUUAUCCGAUUUAAAAGCCCACGGUUGCGGCUCAAGAUCCCUGACUGAGGCGUCGCCCCCCGCCCCGCGGCGGCAGACAGGCACGGAAACACGGGGAAUUGGCCCCGAAAAGGCCGCGGGGAAGGGGGCGGCUCUUUGGCAAAGCGCAAAGGGACCCGGGACCCCCCGGCAGAAAAAACCUACAAAAAACAACAAAAAACCAACACAAAAGGGACAAAUCCGGCGUGGCGGGUGUUGGCGAAGGCACCGGCGGCUGCUCAGGCGAACAUGGUGAACUGGAGCCACUGCAGGACCAGGAGGAGGAAGGGUGAACCCCCAAAUCUCACGUUUGGCGAUGAUGCGGUUGAGGAUGGUCUGGAGCUCCGCCACGCUGAUCUCCAUGUCCUGGGGACACAAAUGGGGUUCACCCGCUGUCACCUGUGUCGCCUGCGUCACCCGCUGUCACCUGUG
Molecule: long non-coding RNA, 732 nt
Organism: Columba livia (rock pigeon)
Lineage: Eukaryota; Metazoa; Chordata; Aves; Columbiformes; Columbidae
Exons: 4
Source: RefSeq, a predicted model, not a curated record